GACGAACGCUGGCGGCGUGCUUAACACAUGCAUGUCGAACGCUGAAGCUCAGCUUUUGUUGGGUGGAUGAGUGGCGAACGGGUGAGUAACACGUGAGUAACCUGCCUCCUUCUUUGGGAUAACGCCCGGAAACGGGUGCUAAUACUGGAUAUUCACUGGUCUUCGCAUGGGGGUUGGUGGAAAGGGUUUUUCUGGUGGGGGAUGGGCUCGCGGCCUAUCAGCUUGUUGGUGGGGUGAUGGCCUACCAAGGCUUUGACGGGUAGCCGGCCUGAGAGGGUGACCGGUAACAUUGGGACUGAGAUACGGCCCAGACUCCUACGGGAGGCAGCAGUGGGGACUAUUGCACAAUGGGCGCAAGCCUGAUGCAGCGACGCUGCGUGAGGGAUGGAGGCCUUCGGGUUGUGAACCUCUUUCGCUCAUGGUCAAGCCGCAACAAUGGUUGUGGUGAGGGUAGUGGGUAAAGAAGCGCCGGCUAACUACGUG
Molecule: ribosomal RNA, 483 nt
Filed under: uncultured bacterium
Lineage: Bacteria
Description: partial 16S ribosomal RNA
Rfam family: Bacterial small subunit ribosomal RNA
Source: RNAcentral